Molecule: transfer RNA, 65 nt
Filed under: Proechimys longicaudatus (long-tailed spiny rat)
Lineage: Eukaryota; Metazoa; Chordata; Mammalia; Rodentia; Echimyidae
Description: tRNA-Lys
Rfam family: tRNA
About the family: Transfer RNA (tRNA) molecules are approximately 80 nucleotides in length.
Source: RNAcentral
CACUAUGAAGCUAAAUAGCAUUAACCUUUUAAGUUAAAGACUGAGAAAUUAAUUCUCCAUAGUGA